Molecule: ribosomal RNA, 377 nt
Filed under: uncultured bacterium
Lineage: Bacteria
Description: bacterial SSU rRNA
Rfam family: Bacterial small subunit ribosomal RNA
Source: RNAcentral
UAAGACAGAGGUGCCAAGCGUUAGGCGGAAUCACUGGGCUUAAAGCGUGUGUAGGCGGAUUUGUAAGUACCUUGUGAAAUCCCACGGCUCAACCGUGGAACUGCUUGGUAUACUGCUUAUCUUGAGCCACUUAGGGGCUGUCGGAACAAACGGUGGAGCGGUGAAAUGCGUAGAUAUCGUUUGGAACGCCAAAGGUGAAAACAGACAGCUGGGAGUGUGCUGACGCUGAGACACGAAAGCCAGGGGAGCGAACGGGAUUAGAUACCCCGGUAGUCCUGGCCCUAAACGAUGUCGACUAGAUCGUGGCGGCUCUGACGUCGUCACGGUCGAAGCAAAAGUGCUAAGUCGACCGCCUGGGAAGUACGGUCGCAAGGCUA